UACGGGGGGGGCAAGCGUUGUUCGGAUUCACUGGGCGUAAAGGGUGCGUAGGCGGUUUGAUAAGUCUGAUGUGAAAUCCCGCAGCUUAACUGCGGAACUGCAUUGGAAACUAUUUGACUAGAGGAAUGGAGGGGAGACUGGAAUACUUGGUGUAGCAGUGAAAUGCGUAGAUAUCAAGUGGAACACCAGUGGCGAAGGCGAGUCUCUGGACAUUUCCUGACGCUGAGGCACGAAAGCCAGGGGAGCAAACGGG
This 253-nucleotide ribosomal RNA is filed under the name uncultured bacterium. RNAcentral's name for it is "partial 16S ribosomal RNA". It matches the Rfam family "Bacterial small subunit ribosomal RNA", at positions 524 to 776 of the family's 1533-position model. The record is from RNAcentral.